Peromyscus maniculatus bairdii (prairie deer mouse) is the source of this 843-nucleotide non-coding RNA. The record is from RefSeq and is a predicted model, not a curated record. NCBI's taxonomy places the organism in Eukaryota, Metazoa, Chordata, Mammalia, Rodentia, Cricetidae.
CUCUUAACUGCUGAGCCAUGUCUCAGGUCUCAUCUACACUGUAACCCAUGUCAGAGUGCUCCCUUUCUGUGGCCAAGGGACAGCCAUUUAGAAUGUCUAUCUGAUGACCCUUUGACACAUACUUGGCUCUCGUUCCUUCAGCCUACCCGAGGAGAGCAGCUUCCUGAGAAUAGGACUGGCCUGGAAGGAGGCCGGCCUCCUGGAGGAGGUGGUUGGUGUAGCCUGGGUCUUCCAAGAGCUGGGGUCUGGAAAGAGGUGUUGAAGGAUACACGGUAGAUUGUUGGAUAGCAGGUCCAACAAUCUGGAAGCUGGAGGUGGCUCAGGUGAGUGUACCAGCUGGGUGCUGGGAAUGGGCCAGUUACAGUUGCUGCCCCUCUGGGUAUCUUUGAUGUACCCAUAGGUCCCUAGCCCUCAGGUCAGAGGGUCACAUUCCUGUAUCCAAGGAGACUGGGAGGGUGGGGAUCACAGAAUUAGAUGGAAUGUGGAAGUGGUUUUUUGUUUGUUUGGUUUGGUUUGGUUUUUUGUUUUGUUUUGUUUUAUUUUGUUUUGUUCUUUUGGUUUCUCGAGACAGGGUUUCCCUGCAUAGUUUUGGUGCCUGUGCUGGAUCUCGCUCUAUAGACCAGGCUGGCCCUGUACUCACAGGCAUCUGCCUGGCUCUGCCUUCCAAGUGCUGGGAUUAAAGGCGUGCACCACCACUGCCCUGCUUUGUGCAGAGGUUUUUACAUGCUGGUUGUUCCUUUCCGAUGUGUCCCCUUCCCUAUGACAGGCUUCAGCCUCAGUCUACUCCCUGGCACCCCGUGAUUGGAUAGCGACACCUAUGGCUCAGGCCAGCCUUGCUGUGAA